Molecule: non-coding RNA, 1119 nt
Organism: Chlorocebus sabaeus (green monkey)
Lineage: Eukaryota; Metazoa; Chordata; Mammalia; Primates; Cercopithecidae
Source: RefSeq, a predicted model, not a curated record
ACCCGGGAGGAGAACUCCUCGCCCAACCUCUACCCUCAUGAAGAGAGGCUCAGAGGGCUGAGAAAGCCCUGGGACAGUGGCAAGGCAGGGCCAGGGGAAGCAGCUUUGCCGCCAGGGCCCGGCUCCUGUUUGCCUUGUGCCCGGUCCUUAGCCUGAAGGUGGUGGGCUUCAGCCAGAAGCCCCUGGCGGAAGCGGUGCCCGCGUGCGGUUCAGAGUGUGGGUGUGCAGGUCUAUGGACGACCCAAAAGGGGUGCCCCUGCCCGGUAACCUAGCGUGAGGGUGAGGGUGGGGAGGGCGGCGGGCACGCAGCACGGCUUGGCUGCUCAGGGCAGGCUCCGCCCCCAGGGGCGCGGGUUUAAAAGGAGCGAAGGCAGCCCGGGAGCCGAGCGGCCGGGAAGCGCGCCGGCACGGAGCUGCUGCCCUGGCACAGCCAUGGCCCGGCGGGUGGGGGGUGCUCGGCUGCUCAGCAGCCUACUGCUCUUCGCCCUGCUCGCUGCCGAUGUCGCCCCGCUCAGCUGGGAUCUCCCGGAGCCCCGCAACCGAGCCGGCAAGAUCCGAGUGCACCCGCGGGGCAACCUCUGGGCCACCGGAAAAGCUGAGGGAGCAGGCUUUGCCACCACCCAGACACCUUUGUGGCUCCUUGGUGAGGUGGAAGGACCAAGAACAGGAAGGUCACUUCAUGGGCAAGAAGAGUCUGGAGCCUCCCAGCCCAUCCCCAUUGGGGACAGCUCCCCACACCUCCCUGAGGCACCAGAGACUGCAGCUGAGUCAUGAUCUGCUCAGGAUCCUCCUGCUAAAGAAGGCUCUGGGCGUGAGCCUCAGCCACCCCGCACCCCACAUCUAGGAGGCUGCUGGUACAAAUAGUGCUGAAAUGAUACCAAUAAUGGGACAGACACAACAGCGUGGCUUAGAUUGUGCCCACCCAGGGAAGGUGCUGAAUGGGACCCUGGUGAUGGCCCCAUCUGGAUGUAAAUCCUGAGCCCAAUAUCUGUUACUCCAUUACUGUGAUUUCUGGUUGGGUCACCAGAAAUAUCGCUGAUGCAGACACAGAUUAUGUUCCUGCUGUAUUUCCUGCUUCCAUGUUGAAUUUGUGAAUAAAACCUUGCUCUUUACAUAUAA